Molecule: ribosomal RNA, 253 nt
Filed under: uncultured bacterium
Lineage: Bacteria
Description: partial 16S ribosomal RNA
Rfam family: Bacterial small subunit ribosomal RNA
Source: RNAcentral
UACAGAGGCCUCGAGCGUUAGGCGGAAUCACUGGGCUUAAAGCGUGUGUAGGCGGACUUCUAAGUACCUUGUGAAAUCCCACGGCUUACCCGUGGAACGGCUGGGUAUACUGGGUGUCUUGAGCCACUUAGGGGCUGCCGGAACAAAUGGUGGAGCGGUGAAAUGCGUAGAUAUUCGGAAGAACACCAGUGGCGAAGGCGACUUACUGGACACAUAUUGACGCUGAGGUGCGAAAGCGUGGGGAGCAAACAGG